Molecule: ribosomal RNA, 250 nt
Filed under: uncultured prokaryote
Description: partial 16S ribosomal RNA
Rfam family: Bacterial small subunit ribosomal RNA
Source: RNAcentral
UACGUAGGGGGCAAGCGUUGUCCGGAAUGACUGGGCGUAAAGGGUGCGUAGGUGGUUGUCUAAGUUGGAAGUGUAAUACCCAGGGCUUAACCCGGGUGCUGCUUCCAAGACUGGAUGACUUGAGUGCAGGAGAGGAAAGCGGAAUUCCUAGUGUAGCGGUGGAAUGCGUAGAUAUUAGGAGGAACACCAGAGGCGAAGGCGGCUUUCUGGACUGUAACUGACACUGAGGCACGAAAGCGUGGGGAGCAAA